RNAcentral lists this transfer RNA (74 nucleotides) under Methanosphaera cuniculi. RNAcentral's name for it is "tRNA-Gln". It matches the Rfam family "tRNA". From Rfam's summary of the family: Transfer RNA (tRNA) molecules are approximately 80 nucleotides in length. Lineage: Archaea; Methanobacteriati; Methanobacteriota; Methanobacteria; Methanobacteriales; Methanobacteriaceae. The record is from RNAcentral.
UAGUCCUUUAGGGUAGUGGCAAUCCUACGAGACUCUGGAUCUUGUGACAGCGGUUCGACUCCGCUAAGGACUAU